RNAcentral lists this ribosomal RNA (454 nucleotides) under uncultured Porphyromonadaceae bacterium. RNAcentral describes it as "partial 16S ribosomal RNA". It matches the Rfam family "Bacterial small subunit ribosomal RNA", at positions 341 to 792 of the family's 1533-position model. The record is from RNAcentral. Lineage: Bacteria; Pseudomonadati; Bacteroidota; Bacteroidia; Bacteroidales; Porphyromonadaceae.
ACGGAAGGCAGCGGUGAGGAAUAUUGGUCAAUGGGCGGAAGCCUGAACCAGCCAUGUCGCGUGCAGGACUACGGCCCUACGGGUCUUAAACUGCUUUUGCAAGGGGAUAAAGUGGGGCACGUGUGCCCCUUUGCAGGUACCUUGCGAAUAAGGAUCGGCUAACUCCGUGCCAGCAGCCGCGGUAAUACGGAGGAUCCGAGCGUUAUCCGGAUUUAUUGGGUUUAAAGGGUGCGUAGGCGGGCUGUUAAGUCAGCGGUGAAAGCCCCGGGCUCAACCCGGGGACUGCCAUUGAAACUGGCGGCCUUGAGUACGUUGGGAGUGCGCGGAAUGUGUGGUGUAGCGGUGAAAUGCAUAGAGAUCACACAGAACACCGAUCGCGUAGGCAGCGCACUAAGCCGCAACUGACGCUGAGGCACGAAGGCGCGGGGAUCGAACAGGAUUAGAUACCCUGGUA